RNAcentral lists this ribosomal RNA (511 nucleotides) under uncultured bacterium. RNAcentral describes it as "bacterial SSU rRNA". It matches the Rfam family "Bacterial small subunit ribosomal RNA", at positions 10 to 522 of the family's 1533-position model. The record is from RNAcentral.
ACUUUGAUUAUGGCUCGGGACGAACGCUGGCGGCGCGCCUAACACACGCAAGUCGAGCGGGAAGCUUUUUAAGGAUUCUUCGGAUGAAUUAAAAAGUGGAGAGCGGCGGACGGGUGAGUAACGCGUGAGAAACCUGCCCUAUACAGGGGGAUAGCCAUUGGAAACGAUGAUUAAUACCCCAUAUGACCACAGUAUCGCAUGAUACAGCGGUGAAAACUCCGGUGGUAUAGGAUGGUCUCGCGUCUGAUUAGCUAGUUGGUGGGGUAACGGCCUACCAAGGCGACGAUCAGUAGCCGGCCUGAGAGGGUGACCGGCCACACUGGAACUGAGACACGGUCCAGACUCCUACGGGAGGCAGCAGUGGGGAAUAUUGCACAAUGGGCGAAAGCCUGAUGCAGCGACGCCGCGUGAACGAUGAAGGCUUUCGAGUCGUAAAGUUCUGUUCUUGGGGAAGAUAACGACGGUACCCAAGGAGAAAGCACCGGCUAAAUACGUGCCAGCAGCCGCGGUA